GAUGAACGCUGGCGGCGUGCCUAAUACAUGCAAGUCGAGCGAACGGACGAGAAGCUUGCUUCUCUGAUGUUAGCGGCGGACGGGUGAGUAACACGUGGAUAACCUACCUAUAAGACUGGGAUAACUUCGGGAAACCGGAGCUAAUACCGGAUAAUAUUUUGAACCGCAUGGUUCAAAAGUGAAAGACGGUCUUGCUGUCACUUAUAGAUGGAUCCGCGCUGCAUUAGCUAGUUGGUACGGUAACGGCCUACCAAGGCAACGAUGCAUAGCCGACCUGAGAGGGUGAUCGGCCGCCCGAGAACGGAGACACGGUCCAGACUCCUACGGGAGGCCGCAGUAGGCAAUCUUCCGCAAUGGGCGAAAACCUGACGGAGCAACGCCGCGUGAGUGAUGAAGGUCUUCGGAUCGUAAAACUCUGUUAUUAGGGAAGAACAUAUGUGUAAGUAACUGUGCACAUCUUGACGGUACCUAAUCAGAAAGCCACGGCUAACUACGUG
This 497-nucleotide ribosomal RNA is filed under the name uncultured bacterium. RNAcentral's name for it is "partial 16S ribosomal RNA". It matches the Rfam family "Bacterial small subunit ribosomal RNA", at positions 28 to 507 of the family's 1533-position model. The record is from RNAcentral.